This 253-nucleotide ribosomal RNA is filed under the name uncultured bacterium. RNAcentral describes it as "partial 16S ribosomal RNA". It matches the Rfam family "Bacterial small subunit ribosomal RNA", at positions 524 to 776 of the family's 1533-position model. The record is from RNAcentral.
UACGGAGGGGACUAGCGUUGUUCGGAAUUACUGGGCGUACAGCGCACGUAGGCGGAUUUGUAAGUCAGGGGUGAAAUCCCGGGGCUCAACCUCGGAACUGCCUUUGAUACUGCAAAUCUCGAGUCCGGAAGAGGUGAGUGGAAUUCCUAGUGUAGAGGUGAAAUUCGUAGAUAUUAGGAAGAACACCAGUGGCGAAGGCGGCUCACUGGUCCGGUACUGACGCUGAGGUGCGAAAGCGUGGGGAGCAAACAGG